UGACCCUUCGGGGUCACCUAGCCAACUGACGUUGUUUGUGAGCACUUCGUUCACUGAAACAAGACAGCCAACCGACUUAAUUUCCGGUUGGCUUUUUUUUU
RNAcentral lists this small RNA (101 nucleotides) under Enterovibrio nigricans DSM 22720. RNAcentral's name for it is "Qrr RNA". It matches the Rfam family "Qrr RNA". Rfam says of the family: This family represents a set of small RNAs (the Qrr RNAs) that are thought to be involved in the regulation of quorum sensing in Vibrio species. It is believed that these RNAs, guided by a protein, Hfq, can mediate the destabilisation of the quorum-sensing master regulators LuxR/HapR mRNAs. Lineage: Bacteria; Pseudomonadati; Pseudomonadota; Gammaproteobacteria; Vibrionales; Vibrionaceae. The record is from RNAcentral.